Molecule: non-coding RNA, 71 nt
Organism: Anopheles dirus
Lineage: Eukaryota; Metazoa; Arthropoda; Insecta; Diptera; Culicidae
Source: Rfam
AUUCUGGUUGAUCCUACCAGUGAUAUACGCUCGUCUCAAAGGUUAAGCCAUGCAUGUCUAAGUACAAACUG